UGUGGAGUUGGAUUUCAUUCAAGGGUGAUGGACACUUGAUCUUGAAUCGUACUUGUGAUUUCUUCAAGGGCCGUCGAGGCUUGAUCUUGAACUUUGGCUAGAAGCUUCUUCAAGGGCCUUUGAGGCUUGAUCUCGAAGGUUGAUUCGAACACAUGGCAAGCAGGCACGAGGUAAAGGUGACAGCCUGUUUCUUUGUUCAAUCUUUCUAAUUCAC
Molecule: long non-coding RNA, 214 nt
Filed under: Malus domestica (apple)
Lineage: Eukaryota; Viridiplantae; Streptophyta; Magnoliopsida; Rosales; Rosaceae
Description: long non-coding RNA (MDOM_LNC003433)
Source: RNAcentral